GUCUUUUUGAAUAUAAUUUAAAGUCUAAUCUGCCCACUGAUAAAUAUUAAAGGGCUGCAGUAUCAUGACUGUACAAAGGUAGCAUAAUCAUUAGUUUUUUAAUUGAAAACUUGUAUGAAGGAUUUGAUGAAAUAUAAGCUGUCUCUAAUUUAUUUAUAGAAAUUUAUUUUUUAGUUAAAAAGCUAAAAUAAUUUUAAAAGACGAGAAGACCCUAUAGAGUUUUAUAUUUAUUUUUAUUAAAAAAUUAUAUAAAAAUUAAUAUUGAAAUAAAAUGAAGUAUUAUGUUGGGGUGAUAGAAAAAUUAAAUUAACUUUUUUUAAAAAUUAAACAUAAAUAUAUGAUUAAAUGAUCCAUUAAUAAUGAUUAUAAGAAAAAAUUACCUUAGG
This 386-nucleotide ribosomal RNA is filed under the name Maniola hyperantus (ringlet). RNAcentral describes it as "partial 16S ribosomal RNA". Lineage: Eukaryota; Metazoa; Arthropoda; Insecta; Lepidoptera; Nymphalidae. The record is from RNAcentral.